This 253-nucleotide ribosomal RNA is filed under the name uncultured bacterium. Its description in RNAcentral is "partial 16S ribosomal RNA". It matches the Rfam family "Bacterial small subunit ribosomal RNA", at positions 524 to 776 of the family's 1533-position model. The record is from RNAcentral.
UACGGAGGAUCCAAGCGUUAUCCGGAUUUAUUGGGUUUAAAGGGUGCGUAGGCGGUUUAUUAAGUCAGGGGUGAAAGCCCAGAGCUCAACUCUGGAACUGCCUUUGAAACUAGAGGACUUGGGUACGGGAGAGGUGAGUGGAAUUCCGAGUGUAGAGGUGGAAUACGUAGAUAUCCGGAGGAACACCAGCGGCGAAGGCGGCUUUCUGGUCCGAUUCUGACGCUGAGGCGCGAAAGCAUGGGGAGCGAACAGG